AUUAAAGGCGUGCGCCACCACACCCGGCAAGUGUUGAUUCUUAAACACCAAAGAAAAAGAACCCAUGUAAAACAGCUGGAUUCAGGAAGAUGGCUCAGGGAUAAAGACACUUUCUGCCAAACUUGAUGACCUAAAUUCCAUUCCCAGGCCCCACACGGUAGGAGAGAACUGACUCCCCCAAGUUGUCCUCUGACAUCCACAUCAGUGCUACGGUCUACACCUCCCCCUCAAAAGAAAUUGUGUAGCAGUGACACGCAUCUGCAAUCACAGCUCUUCUGCAGCCUGGAAACUCCAGGGCCAGCCAGCCUGGAGUGCUCCCGAGCCACAGAAACAAAAAGCCUGCUGCCUCAACAAGGCAGUGGAAGAGAACCGAGUCCACGUGCAAGCCACAACAGCGCUGGGUGAACAAGACUCACAGUGAGACAUGCAAAAAUCUCUGCCUAUCACAGCAGUUCAUCAAAAGAUGAGGAAAAAACGAUCCCUGCAGGGAAAAGGAAGAAGCAGGAAUGAAGCAUCUCUGAUUGACUUCAGAGCACUAGGAGAGGCCAAGAAAGUCCUCCUGCCUGGGUUUUGCCAUUUCUAAAGUAGCCACUUGGUCACAAUGUACUAAUAUCCACAGUGUG
RNAcentral lists this long non-coding RNA (623 nucleotides) under Mus musculus (house mouse). Its description in RNAcentral is "predicted gene 4544". Lineage: Eukaryota; Metazoa; Chordata; Mammalia; Rodentia; Muridae. The record is from RNAcentral.